GCAAGUCGAGCGAGAAAGUCUCCUUCGGGAGAUGAGUAGAGCGGCGCACGGGUGAGUAACGCGUGGAUAAUCUACCUUUAGGAUUGGGAUAACAGUUGGAAACGGCUGCUAAUACCGGAUACGCUGCAUAUUUAUUUAUGUGGGAAAGAUGGCCUCUACUUGUAAGCUAUCACCUAAAGAUGAGUCCGCGUUCCAUUAGCUUGUUGGUGGGGUAAAGGCCUACCAAGUCGAUGAUGGGUAGCCGAGCUGAGAGGCUGAUC
This 260-nucleotide ribosomal RNA is filed under the name uncultured bacterium. RNAcentral's name for it is "partial 16S ribosomal RNA". It matches the Rfam family "Bacterial small subunit ribosomal RNA", at positions 57 to 305 of the family's 1533-position model. The record is from RNAcentral.